RNAcentral lists this ribosomal RNA (504 nucleotides) under uncultured bacterium. RNAcentral's name for it is "partial 16S ribosomal RNA". It matches the Rfam family "Bacterial small subunit ribosomal RNA", at positions 28 to 506 of the family's 1533-position model. The record is from RNAcentral.
GACGAACGCUGGCGGCGUGCCUAAUACAUGCAAGUAGAACGCACAGUUUAUACCGUAGCUUGCUACACCAUAGACUGUGAGUUGCGAACGGGUGAGUAACGCGUAGGUAACCUGCCUGGUAGCGGGGGAUAACUAUUGGAAACGAUAGCUAAUACCGCAUAAUAUUGAUUAUUGCAUGAUAAUUGAUUGAAAGAUGCUAUUGCAUCACUACCAGAUGGACCUGCGUUGUAUUAGCUAGUAGGUGAGGUAACGGCUCACCUAGGCGACGAUACAUAGCCGACCUGAGAGGGUGAUCGGCCACACUGGGACUGAGACACGGCCCAGACUCCUACGGGAGGCAGCAGUAGGGAAUCUUCGGCAAUGGACGAAAGUCUGACCGAGCAACGCCGCGUGAGUGAAGAAGGUUUUCGGAUCGUAAAGCUCUGUUGUAAGAGAAGAACGGGUGUGAGAGUGGAAAGUUCACACUGUGACGGUAUCUUACCAGAAAGGGACGGCUAACUACGU